Acanthosepion pharaonis is the source of this 112-nucleotide non-coding RNA. Lineage: Eukaryota; Metazoa; Mollusca; Cephalopoda; Sepiida; Sepiidae. The record is from the annotation of a GenBank genome assembly.
UUACGGCCACAUCACGUUGAAACACUGGUUCCCGUACGAUCACCAAAGUUAAGCAUCGUCGAUCCUGGUCAGUACCUAGAUGCAUGAUCACUUAGGAAUACCAGGUCCUGUA